Molecule: ribosomal RNA, 462 nt
Filed under: uncultured bacterium
Lineage: Bacteria
Description: bacterial SSU rRNA
Rfam family: Bacterial small subunit ribosomal RNA
Source: RNAcentral
AGGAGGCAGCAGUGAGGAAUUUUGGACAAUGGGGGCAACCCUGAUCCAGCCAUGCCGCGUGAGGGAAGAAGGCCUUCGGGUUGUAAACCUCUUUCGGCCGGGACGAAAGCGCGCGGGUGAAUAGCUCGCGUGGAUGACGGUACCGGAAGAAGAAGCACCGGCUAACUACGUGCCAGCAGCCGCGGUAAUACGUAGGGUGCGAGCGUUAAUCGGAAUUACUGGGCGUAAAGCGUGCGCAGGCGGUGCACUAAGCCAGACGUGAAAGCCCCGGGCUUAACCUGGGAAUGGCGUUUGGGACUGGUGUGCUGGAGUAAGGCAGAGGGGGGUGGAAUUCCAGGUGUAGCAGUGAAAUGCGUAGAUAUCUGGAGGAACACCGAUGGCGAAGGCAGCCCCCUGGGCUAUUACUGACGCUCAUGCACGAAAGCGUGGGGAGCAAACAGGAUUAGAUACCCGGGUAGUCCU